CCCUUCGAGGGGUUCUCCCACCGGGGCUUCUGCCCCGGAGGCCAAUCUCGAGAGGAUGCCACGGAUUGAGAGGAGUAGGAGGGGAAAAAUAGCAGCCUACGAAUUCUCCCACUAUCGAACUGUCACUGAGGGUUCCCACCACGUCAAAGGGGGCUCGAGGGAGAAUUCCUUCAAUAACAGAGAUUUAAUAACGAAAACA
RNAcentral lists this long non-coding RNA (199 nucleotides) under Elaeis guineensis (African oil palm). RNAcentral describes it as "long non-coding RNA (EGUI_LNC051799)". The record is from RNAcentral. Lineage: Eukaryota; Viridiplantae; Streptophyta; Magnoliopsida; Arecales; Arecaceae.